GAAUUCGCCCUUAGAGUUUGAUCCUGGCUCAGGAUGAACGCUAGCGGCAGGCUUAACACAUGCAAGUCGAGGGGCAGCAAGGGUAGCAAUACCUGUUGGCGACCGGCAAACGGGUGCGGAACACGUACACAAUCUACCUUUAUCUGGGGUAUAGCCCGGAGAAAUCCGGAUUAAUCCCCCAUAACAUAUUGAUGAGGCAUCUUAAUGAUAUUAAAACUCCGGUGGAUAAAGAUGAGUGUGCGUCCCAUUAGCUAGUUGGUAGGGUAACGGCCUACCAAGGCGACGAUGGGUAGCUGGUGUGAGAGCACGACCAGCCACACGGGCACUGAGACACGGGCCCGACUCCUACGGGAGGCAGCAGUGAGGAAUAUUGGUCAAUGGACGCAAGUCUGAACCAGCCAUGCCGCGUGAAGGAUGAAGGCCUUCUGGGUUGUAAACUUCUUUUAUUGGGGAAGAAAAUUACGGUUUCUACUGUAACCGACGGUACCCAAGGAAUAAGCACCGGCUAACUCCGUGCCAGCAGCCGCGGUAAUACGGAGGGUGCAAGCGUUAUCCGGAUUCACUGGGUUUAAAGGGUGUGUAGGCGGGCUGUUAAGUCAGUGGUGAAAUCUCCGGGCUCAACCCGGAAACUGCCAUUGAUACUAUCAGUCUUGAAUAUCGUUGAGGUUGGCGGAAUAUAUCAUGUAGCGGUGAAAUGCUUAGAUAUGAUAUAGAACACCGAUUGCGAAGGCAGCUAACUAAGCGAUGAUUGACGCUGAGGCACGAAAGCGUGGGGAUCAAACAGGAUUAGAUACCCUGGU
RNAcentral lists this ribosomal RNA (800 nucleotides) under uncultured bacterium. RNAcentral's name for it is "bacterial SSU rRNA". It matches the Rfam family "Bacterial small subunit ribosomal RNA", at positions 1 to 791 of the family's 1533-position model. The record is from RNAcentral.